This 1096-nucleotide ribosomal RNA is filed under the name uncultured fungus. Its description in RNAcentral is "eukaryotic LSU rRNA". The stretch from base 465 to 1096 matches the Rfam family "Eukaryotic large subunit ribosomal RNA", at positions 1 to 649 of the family's 3401-position model. The record is from RNAcentral. Lineage: Eukaryota; Fungi.
AAGUCGUAACAAGGUUUCCGUAGGUGAACCUGCGGAAGGAUCAUUACCAAAAGGAACCCUUCGGGGUUAAUCCUCAACCCUUUGUUUAAUUACCAUGCUUCUUUGGCGGGCUUGCCCGUCAGAAGAUUUCUCAAACCCUCUAAACGUGUCAUCUGAAUCAAACAUUAAAUAUAAUAAAACUUUCAACAACGGAUCUCUUGGUUCUGGCAUCGAUGAAGAACGCAGCGAAAUGCGAUAAGUAAUGUGAAUUGCAGAAUUCAGUGAAUCAUCGAAUCUUUGAACGCAUAUUGCGCCCUUUGGUAUUCCGAAGGGCAUACCUGUUCGAGCGUCAUUACACCUCUCAAGUACACCUUGAUGUUGGGCCAUGCCUGGAGGCAAGCCUAAAAGACAGCGAUGGUCAAGUCGAACCACGGGCGCACAGAUGUCGCUAAGCUGGGGAGACGGGAUCAGUAAAUUCCAAAUGUUGACCUCGGAUCAGGUAGGAUUACCCGCUGAACUUAAGCAUAUCAAUAAGCGGAGGAAAAGAAACCAACAGGGAUUGCCUCAGUAACGGCGAGUGAAGCGGCAACAGCUCAAAUUUGAAAUCUGACCCUUCGGGUCCGAGUUGUAAUUUGUAGAGGAUGUUUCGGGUAAGAUCUAGGUCUAAGUUCCUUGGAACAGGACGUCAGAGAGGGUGAGAAUCCCGUACGUGGCCGAGGAUCGCACCCAUGUGAAACCCCUUCGACGAGUCGAGUUGUUUGGGAAUGCAGCUCAAAAUGGGUGGUAAAUUUCAUCUAAAGCUAAAUAUUGGCCAGAGACCGAUAGCGCACAAGUAGAGUGAUCGAAAGAUGAAAAGCACUUUGAAAAGAGAGUUAAACAGUAUGUGAAAUUGUUGAAAGGGAAGCGCUUGCAACCAGACUUGUUUACUGGGUUCAGCCGUCGUUCUCGGCGGUGUAUUUCCCUGUUAUCAGGCCAGCAUCAGUUUGGGUGGAAGGUCAAAGGCCUCGGGAAUGUAGCACCCUCUCGGGGGUGUCUUAUAGCCCGGGGUGUAAUGCUUCCUACCCGGACUGAGGUACGCGCUUCGGCUCGGAUGCUGGCGUAAUGGUUGUAAGCGACC